Molecule: ribosomal RNA, 339 nt
Filed under: Triticum aestivum (bread wheat)
Lineage: Eukaryota; Viridiplantae; Streptophyta; Magnoliopsida; Poales; Poaceae
Description: partial small subunit ribosomal RNA
Source: RNAcentral
AUGCUUUGGUGCUCCCUCCACCAAAUUGAUAAUUUUCAUUUUCUUUUCCCCCACUCCAGAAAGCAGCAGCACUCACUGUCACGAUCGCCGUCGCUGUCAGGUGGGCCCCACCGCAUCACCGAAAAGAGGAAGAGCAGAUAUCAUCAUCGCCCAUAUAUAAACCUCUCCACCUGCCUUCCUGGCCAAUUAUUUUCUUCCAGGCUCGGCUCCAGCGACCGACGCCCCCCCAAUGUUUCCACUAUUACCAAUCCGGCUCUCAGAAGUCUACUCUUCGUCCAGUGCGCGCGGAAAAGUAAUAAUAGCAACCAGGUCCCUCCAGUGAUUACCACCUGUCUCUGA